CCGGGUCCUGCGCGCAUACCGCUCUUGGCAUCGACACGGAUCAGCUUGAUACCCGCAGGGACGCGGAACGGAACGGCAGGCUUGUCGGCGAGCGCAAGCUUCAUGANNNNNNGGGGGGAGAUGACCCCCCGGGUACCGCCUCUGCCGAGAUUCCGCGGCUUGUCGUACCCGAUAUAGACACCGACCACGAGAUCGGGUGAGAAACCGAUGAACCAGGCGUCCUUCUCAUCGUUGG
Molecule: unclassified non-coding RNA, 235 nt
Filed under: Hevea brasiliensis (rubber tree)
Lineage: Eukaryota; Viridiplantae; Streptophyta; Magnoliopsida; Malpighiales; Euphorbiaceae
Source: RNAcentral